CACAAAAGAGUGGGUUGAGUGGUUGCCGGUUUCCGUAGCCUCAUCUUUAAACUUCGUUCUCCUUCGCUGGCGAUCUCUUCCUCUGACUCUAAUCUAAGUUUUUCAUUGCCAUUGUUGUGGAAACUAUAGUAGAGGCUUGGUCUUCAAGCUGCAACAGUUGAUUAUGGAUGUGGUAGAUGCUUGACUGCAUACCGUAUGUUAUGUUUACCUGAGAAGGUAUAUGCACUUGGAAGUUCCCUCAAAAUCAAUAUAUUCAUUCUUUACUUCCCUCACCUUGAAGAAUCCAUGGUUGAUGGAACAAGAGGUUUGUUGGAGGAAGAACUCACCUUGGGAGCUCUUAACGCCUCGGGCUCACAUAUGAUAAUUUCUGCCGAGGAAAGAGUCCACAAUAGUCCUUUAUGAUCUGUUCAAACUGUCUCGUUAUCUUAUUGUGAUUAGGUUCUUUCUGGCUAGAAGAAUACAAGGUCUUUUCCAAACUUGGAAUGGGCAUGAUGCGUUGUUCCAUGAUAUUUGGUACAUAAAAAUAUUUUAAAAUUUUUAUGGUUAGCAUUUAUAGUGCAUCUUAUUUAUAUUUUUUUUUUUCCAAUUAAAAUGUACAAUAAUUUGAGAACAAGGUUUCCAAAUUUUAGCUCUCCUAUGAUAUGUAAGUUUUACCCAAUUAGAAUUUUUUUUAUAAUAUCUAAAUUCGUUGUUCGGAUUCCAGCUUGUGAGCUAUAGGUAUUGAUUCAUUUAAAACUUGCGCCAUCUAAUAUUUCUACAUUUUAAGGUUUUGAAAAUAUAGGUUGCUCUGCAUCUUUCAUUUGUUUAAGUUCAUUGAUUUAUCUAUAAGUGAUUAAUAAGCUAUUAACCAAGGUAAUGGUUGUCCUCUCUACUUUUGCAUGGGAUGUAAUGCUCCUAGUCAAGUGACUUACCACCAGUUUUUCAGUUGCAACCUUCGUUAUUCAUCUUGCUUGAGUCAUUUUUUCAUGAUCUUUAAUCACACGGUUGGUGAAGAAACCGAUAUUGGCAGCAUUGAGAGCUGAUUCGUGAACAGGGGUCAAACCUUUUCUUGCAAACAGACUUUCCUCAUUUCUUCUAUAUUAUUAGUAUAUUUCAUGCUACUCAUCAAUUUUAUUUGAUUUCAUUAACCAUGUUAUAUAUACAGUUUGUUGAUUUUAUUUUACUUAUCAUUAAUAAUAUACAUUACACGUCUCUAUAUCACCUUUUGUCUCACUUGAAUUGAGCAUGGCUAAUCUAGUUUGGUUUUAAUUGAACCAGUAUUUAUAUCAUCAUUUAUUCAAUUUGUUGUUGUUAAUGAGUUUUUACCAACAACCUACUUCGGCCUGGUUUUUGUUAAUCAUGUAUUAAUAUGUAUUUGAUAUGCUAGUGAAUUCGAUUUUGGCUUUAUUAACUCUUUUUACCACUUAAAUCAAAAUGCAUGAUAAUGUUGUUGGUAUAUUAAAAUUCAUUAAAUCUAAUGGAAACAUAAAGUUAUUAGCAAUGGUAAUUGAAUUAAACAUGCACUUAAUUUUUUUUUUUUUUAUAUUAUAUGCGAUGCUCACGAGAUACAUAUGCGCUUGUUUAGUAACAUACACUCUUCUGUGAAAACCUUCUACACAUCCUACUAACUUUGUUGUUUCUCUACCAACUUCACAUCAUAACCUUUGAUCCGUGUUCUUUAUUUAAUUUUGGUUAUGGGGAAUGUGUGAUUAAUGUUUUGUGGAGAUAUUGCCCAUCAAGUAGGUUGCAGAAAAUGUUUUAUUCAAUUUUGUAAAUAUUUUCGGCAAUCCACUGUAGCUCUUCAUAACUUGGUACUUUGAACUCUCUCUUGUGAUUUUAUUGAAUGCUCACAGUUGAUCUUACUUGUAAUACAAGCUAUUUGCCACAUCUCUAUCCAUAAUCUCUUUUAUGUCUUUGUUUCUUAAUAAAUUAGUCUAAUUAAAAAAAAUUGAAUUCAAGUCUAAACCAUCAUCAUGGCAGCAUGUUAUCCUGUCCAUGUGCUUUAUUGGAAUCUUUAGUUCCUCCCAGUUUUAGUGACAGGCCAUGCAUUGAGGAAGUGGUCAAUAAUGAUGAGGUAAGGUUUGUUUACCUAUAGUUAAGUAUUGCAUUCCAAGUAUUCAGCCUUCAGCGCUUGAAUUUAUGGUCUUUGCUAUGAUGGUUUUAUCUAUUAGCAUUGCAUCUAUAUGUAAUAAAACUCAUUUCUAAUUGUAAUCUGCAAAUUUACAAGUCCGAUUUGUUAUGCUCAAGUACUAGGCAUUGUUUCCCAUUGCCUGUGUGUGCGCGCAUCUGUGCGUGCUCUUACGCGCAUGUAUGUGUUCAAUGCUCCUGCCUGCCUGCUCGGAGAAACUCUUUAUGAUUACUAGAAUUACUCAAGUUGCAUGUAAAUCAUAGCCUUAAACUAUGUGGAUGAAGCCUAUUUGUUAGAAGCAUUGAAUGUAAUUUUUGAAACCAUAAGAGUUUUCUCUAGGACUGAAUUCAUUAGGUCUUUGUGCCUGGUUGAUAAUGUUAUAUUAUUGAAUUAACUUUGGCCUAAAUCUUCCUUCACUAAAUCUUUUCAAUAUUGAACGAGUUAUUUAAGAAAGACAAAUUUGAAGGGCAUUAUUAUUAUUACUUUCUUUUGCUUUACCAUGUUAAUGUUUCAUUAUGUUAGAGGGAAAUCUUGUAUUAUUUUACCUAAUAUGAGUGAAACAUGUUCUUUGCUUUUUUCUAUAUAACCUUUUUUUUUUACAGGUUAUCUGAUGGUGAACUUUUAAUAGAAUUCUUUUAGUUGCCUAUUUCAGUUAGAUCAUGAUAUUUGGCUAGCAAUUUGAGAUUAUUUGUUGCUUUCUUCGCAUCUAAUGCUAUUAUAUUAGAAUUAAUCAAUUGAAACUGUUUGUCACUCCUUGAAUGCACAGUUUUUUGUUUUCUUUACAUUAAUGAUUUUGAUAUGUAAUGGUAUCACAAAUGAUGUUUAUUUCCUCUUGAAAAUUGUUUGCAUUUUUUUUAUGAAUAUUAAUAGUUGUCAAAUUGUGGUUUCUUAGGUAUAGUUCUUAAGUAGUGUUUCAAGUCUCUGUUGCAUGCCCAACUUACAUUUUCAUAAUGGGUCUAUGCACUUGGAUGUUCUCAAAACUGAUAGAUCUGUUCUUGUUGUUCUUAGUUAUAGGGUCAUCGGGUGGAGCACUCACCUUGGGGCUCUAGAAGAGGAAGCUCCUUUAACAGCUCAGGUAUUUAUCUGGGUCUAUUAGAUAAACAUUGAAGAAUGGAGGAGAUAAUUUCAAGCAGGAGUUUCCAGAGGUGUUGUGUAUGUAAGGGCAUAUUCUUUUCCCACCAUGUUUGUUUUAUAUUGUAUCUUAUUUAAAAAGUGGCUGAGAAAGGUUGUUGGAAGCA
Long non-coding RNA from Dioscorea cayenensis subsp. rotundata (Guinea yam), 3345 nucleotides. RefSeq lists it as uncharacterized. The transcript is spliced from 6 exons. The record is from RefSeq and is a predicted model, not a curated record. NCBI's taxonomy places the organism in Eukaryota, Viridiplantae, Streptophyta, Magnoliopsida, Dioscoreales, Dioscoreaceae.